UAAAAAAUUUGAAAUCUAUUCGGUUAUAGAUUAUGGAUCUUGUUAUCUUAAAUAAUUCGUUUAAACACAUAUAUUAUUUAUAAGCUAAGAUUUCCAUUUUAAUCGGGUUGGUGAUGUUAUUUGUUGUUUUCGUUAAUUGAGUUUCUCUAGUUAAAGUUAUCUAAAGUAAAGGUAAUAAGGAUUUUUUUUAAUUUAAUUAGCUAAUGUUUGAUUAAGAUUACAUGGGUUGGGUGACAAGAGUCUUACCCUCGUACUUUCCUUUAUUUUGCUGAAUAAUCACCUAAUCACUUAUAUUAUAUUAUUUUAUUUUAAUUUAUUUUUCCUCAAAAAAAUUCAUUCUAGAAAGAUCCAAAAAGAAAGAAAAAUGGAGAACCCUCAUUUUCUCUCUCUCACUCUCGUCGAUCUUUCUCUCUCUUCAACUGCUCCCCUCUCCCUCAUUUCGGCGAACGCCGACCAUCCUCUUCGUCGACGCUCCGACUCAUGUUGUUGUGGUGUCGCUGCUUUGCUACUGCUUCACAGAGUCUCGCCUCUCUCCCCUUCUCCUUCGAUUUUGCUCCGCCUCACGCCGCCACCAUGGUGGUCGUUGCUGCCGCCGUUGCUACUGCCUCACAAAUGGGUAACCUCUUUAUCCUAGCCUGUUAAUUAUUUGAAUUGCUUAGAAUCCCAAUUCAGGAAACCCUAACUUCCUCUUCUUUGGCUUCUCUCUCCUCUUCGGGUGCGACACAUCCUUGCCGGAGCUCCGCGGUCCUACUGGAGCUGUUGCUGUUGCAGUUGCAAUUUAUCUACUGUUGUUGCUGAAUUUCCUUCUUAUGGGUAUAAUUAUUUUCCAAUUCUAUUUAUUCCUAUUAAUCUAUAUCAAUUAGAUUAUAAUAGUUUAUGGAAAUAAAUUGUUAUUAUUUAUUUUGAUUAUAUAAAAAUGAGUUUUGAUUAUUAAAGCGUGUUUGAUUAAUGUUCAGUUAUACCAAAUGGUUUCUAAAUAAGAGUGUAAUUUAGUUUUCAAAACCUAUUUUAGUAAAUAAGAAAAUUAUACAAUUAUGAAUAUUAGUCACAAUUACUUUAGCUUUCCUAAUAUAGUAUACAUGCUAAGCUUUUGAAAUAAGUUUUCAGGAAUCGGUUUAGAUUUCUCAACAAAAUGAUGAUUUAGUCUUUAGUUUACUUUAAGAAAAGAGGAUAUUAAUUCAUGUCUUUCUUGUGGAGGUGAACGUUUGGGGUUUGAUUAAGGAUAAUGAAAUGAUGAAGUAGAAGUGGAUUGGUAGUGGAUUGUGGCUUGGAAUUUUUGUGCGGCAAUUGAAGAGUUAAAAUGUUUUGCAGGUAGCAAGAGUUAGGUCUCAGUUCAGAUUCAAGGUUCGUAGAUUUCUUCAAUGACCUUACGUGUCCAAGGUUGGAUUGUGGAUUCGCCAAAUGUAAUUUAUUUCCUAGAGUUUGUUAAUGGGGUGUAUAAUUUCUUCUUAAAGCUUUUGGUUUAUAAUUUAUGGGUUGUGUAUCUGUAUUGGAGUCGUAGUGAAGUUAAGUUUCUUUGGUUUAAAGUUAAGUGUGCUUAGAAGUAGCUCAUUAAGUGUAGGCUGUACAGUGACACUCUGGUGAUGUUUGGGAUAUGUUAUAUGUUGAAAUGAUGAAUUUGAAGCAGGUGAAAGAGAA
Long non-coding RNA from Spinacia oleracea (spinach), 1638 nucleotides. RefSeq lists it as uncharacterized. The record is from RefSeq and is a predicted model, not a curated record. NCBI's taxonomy places the organism in Eukaryota, Viridiplantae, Streptophyta, Magnoliopsida, Caryophyllales, Amaranthaceae. The transcript has 2 exons.